This is a long non-coding RNA of Benincasa hispida (wax gourd), 523 nucleotides long. RefSeq lists it as uncharacterized. Lineage: Eukaryota; Viridiplantae; Streptophyta; Magnoliopsida; Cucurbitales; Cucurbitaceae. The record is from RefSeq and is a predicted model, not a curated record.
UCCAACUAAGUCUUCAAGUCUCCAAUCGAAUGGCAGCAGCCUCCAUCUUCAUCUGAAGAAGCUCCCUGCCGGCUACCACUGCCCCUAUUCUGCUCGUGCUUUGUGCUCGCCUCCCAAGCCAAGUCCGGCCGAGUUCCACGCCAAGUCCCUUCGCGUUCAAUGUUCAACGUUCGUUCGUCAUCGCUCAACAUCAAGCCGUCGACGUUCGUCACCCACCGUUCAUCACCAGCUUGUCAAAAUUGCUAAGGCAUGGCCAUAAGUCAUGGUCAAGAUUUAUCAACACCGAUAAUCAGCGUCUUGUAUCCCCCGAGGUCACCGUUCGUCACCGUUCACUGCUACCUGUCAUACUGUUUACCGCUCUCCAGUCCAGUCUCCACAGUAACUCGGAAUAAUACUCACAACCAAAGAUGGAAUGAUGGCAAGAAAAGAGAAAAUUUUGAUUGUAAAGUCAUCGGUGAAGAGAGAAAGACGAGUAAUUUAUGAUUGUGGUUGUAUUUGUAAUUGUAUAAGACAUUUACCUCUA